This 60-nucleotide transfer RNA is filed under the name Escherichia coli. Its description in RNAcentral is "tRNA-OTHER". It matches the Rfam family "tRNA", at positions 24 to 71 of the family's 71-position model. From Rfam's summary of the family: Transfer RNA (tRNA) molecules are approximately 80 nucleotides in length. Their secondary structure includes four short double-helical elements and three loops (D, anti-codon, and T loops). Lineage: Bacteria; Pseudomonadati; Pseudomonadota; Gammaproteobacteria; Enterobacterales; Enterobacteriaceae. The record is from RNAcentral.
GAGCAGACUGUAAAUCUGCCGUCAUCGACUUCGAAGGUUCGAAUCCUUCCCCCACCACCA